UACGUAGGUGGCAAGCGUUGUCCGGAAUUAUUGGGUGUAAAGCGCGCGCAGGCGGUCCUUUAAGUCUGAUGUGAAAGCCCACGGCUCAACCGUGGAGGGUCAUUGGAAACUGGGGGACUUGAGUACAGAAGAGAAGAGUGGAAUUCCACGUGUAGCGGUGAAAUGCGUAGAGAUGUGGAGGAACACCAGUGGCGAAGGCGACUCUUUGGUCUGUAACUGACGCUGAGGCGCGAAAGCGUGGGGAGCAAACAGG
This 253-nucleotide ribosomal RNA is filed under the name uncultured bacterium. RNAcentral's name for it is "partial 16S ribosomal RNA". It matches the Rfam family "Bacterial small subunit ribosomal RNA", at positions 524 to 776 of the family's 1533-position model. The record is from RNAcentral.